Molecule: unclassified non-coding RNA, 155 nt
Organism: Chelonoidis abingdonii (Abingdon island giant tortoise)
Lineage: Eukaryota; Metazoa; Chordata; Testudines; Testudinidae
Source: Ensembl
UUGCUGCUCUGGAAACCGACAUCCUCUCCCCACACAGAACAGACACAACAAGGGUGGUGGCAGAACAGCUUUCCCCUCAAUCUCAAUCUGGAGGGAUUAUCUCCAAGGGUGAGAGGGUAAUUCAGUCCCCAUGGCCCAAUCAGCCCUUGACCUCU